This 132-nucleotide small RNA is filed under the name Escherichia coli. Its description in RNAcentral is "RtT sRNA". It matches the Rfam family "RtT RNA". From Rfam's summary of the family: This family represents a bacterial cis-regulatory element known as RtT RNA. The exact function of RtT is unknown although it is thought that it may be involved in changing the cellular response in relation to amino acid starvation. The record is from RNAcentral. Lineage: Bacteria; Pseudomonadati; Pseudomonadota; Gammaproteobacteria; Enterobacterales; Enterobacteriaceae.
AUUCUGCCCAUGCGGGGAAGGAUGAGAAGCUUCGACCAAGGUUCGACUCGAGCGCCAGCGAGAGAGCGUGGCCGCAGGCAACGACCCGAAGGGCGAAGCGCGCAGCGCUGAGUAAUCCUUCACCCACCACCA